UUGGCCUGGAAUCAAGGCCAGCAGUUUGCUGAAGCUGUUGGUUUCAAGCAGGAGCCUAAAGAAUUACCUUUCUCUGUUGGGUGUUUCAGAACUUUGGAAAUAUAAUGGCCAAUUCAUUAGAAAGAAACAGCA
This is a small nucleolar RNA of Otolemur garnettii (small-eared galago), 132 nucleotides long. Lineage: Eukaryota; Metazoa; Chordata; Mammalia; Primates; Galagidae. The record is from Ensembl.